UGGGGAAUAUUGGACAAUGGGGGCAACCCUGAUCCAGCCAUGCCGCGUGAGUGAUGAAGGCCUUAGGGUUGUAAAACUCUUUCAGUGGUGACGAUAAUGACGGUAGCCACAGAAGAAGCCCCGGCUAACUCCGUGCCAGCAGCCGCGGUAAUACGGAGGGGGCUAGCGUUGUUCGGAAUUACUGGGCGUAAAGCGUCUGCAGGUGGCCGUUCAAGUCUGCUGUUAAAGCUCGGGGCUCAACUCCGAAUCGGCAGUGGAAACUGGAUAGCUAGAGUGCGGUAGGGGUAGAGGGAAUUCCCAGUGUAGCGGUGAAAUGCGUAGAUAUUGGGAAGAACACCAGUGGCGAAGGCGCUCUACUGGGCCGCAACUGACACUGAGGGACGAAAGCUAGGGGAGCGAAUGGGAUUAGAUACCCCCGUAGUCC
This 424-nucleotide ribosomal RNA is filed under the name uncultured prokaryote. RNAcentral's name for it is "bacterial SSU rRNA". It matches the Rfam family "Bacterial small subunit ribosomal RNA", at positions 355 to 796 of the family's 1533-position model. The record is from RNAcentral.